Molecule: non-coding RNA, 72 nt
Organism: Ictidomys tridecemlineatus (thirteen-lined ground squirrel)
Lineage: Eukaryota; Metazoa; Chordata; Mammalia; Rodentia; Sciuridae
Source: Rfam
AGGGUUGUGGCUCAGUGGUAGAGCACUUGCCUAGCAUGCAUGAGGCAUUGGGUUCGACCCCCAGCACCACAU